RNAcentral lists this small RNA (421 nucleotides) under Pan troglodytes (chimpanzee). RNAcentral's name for it is "processed transcript". The record is from RNAcentral. Lineage: Eukaryota; Metazoa; Chordata; Mammalia; Primates; Hominidae.
GUGCUGGAGAAUCUGGUAAAAGCACCAUUGUGAAGCAGAUGAGGAUCCUGCAUGUUAAUGGGUUUAAUGGAGAGGGCGGCGAAGAGGACCCGCAGGCUGCAAGGAGCAACAGCGAUGGCAGUGAGAAGGCAACCAAAGUGCAGGACAUCAAAAACAACCUGAAAGAGGCGAUUGAAACCAUUGUGGCCGCCAUGAGCAACCUGGUGCCCCCCGUGGAGCUGGCCAACCCCGAGAACCAGUUCAGAGUGGACUACAUUCUGAGUGUGAUGAACGUGCCUGACUUUGACUUCCCUCCCGAAUUCUAUGAGCAUGCCAAGGCUCUGUGGGAGGAUGAAGGAGUGCGUGCCUGCUAUGAACGCUCCAACGAGUACCAGCUGAUUGACUGUGCCCAGUACUUCCUGGACAAGAUCGACGUGAUCAA